RNAcentral lists this transfer RNA (62 nucleotides) under Siphoviridae sp. ctBAZ2. RNAcentral's name for it is "tRNA-Thr". It matches the Rfam family "tRNA", at positions 8 to 63 of the family's 71-position model. Rfam says of the family: Transfer RNA (tRNA) molecules are approximately 80 nucleotides in length. Lineage: Duplodnaviria; Heunggongvirae; Uroviricota; Caudoviricetes. The record is from RNAcentral.
UAGCUCAGUAGGCAGAGCAAUACACCCGUAAUGUAUAGGUCACAGGUUCGAUCCUGUCACCC